UAAAAAUACAAGUGUCACAGCACAUUGUUACAGAAAAAUAUCUUUCUGAUUUUACCAUUUCAGUGUAUAGUACAUAGAGUAGGGAUAUAAACAGUUAACUGGUAAGCAUUAGUCUUACCGGUUAACCCCCGUUAACUGUUAACCCUCAGGCUGGCUGCCUGUCACAAUCCCAACAGCCCCGUGCAGGCCGGCCAUCCCACCAAUUGGAGCCGUCCCUUGGGUAGGGCGAAUCGGGGCAACCGCUCUGGGCCCCAUGCUUUGUGGAGCCCUGCAGACCAGUGUGAUUGGCCAGUGCAGUAGGUCCCAGAAUUCAUAGACAGAAGCUGAGCAUGGCACUUGAACUACAAGCACAUCAGCAGAUUCUCCAGAAAAAACAAGGAAGAUUGUCCUUAACAUCCCUAUACUUCAAAAGGUAAAAUGAAGCAUGAAGCAAAUGUCUAAAGACUAAUAUCAUAGAAAUAGAGCAGCUGGCCAGUGACCUUGUGCAGGAGCGUUGGAAUAUUUUGGCAGUUGAGGUUCACAAUACAAGAUAUCUUUCAACUUGGAGAGUCAUUGAUGGACGAAGGAUAGAACCCAAGGUGGUGCCAUUGAACAGAUACUCAUAGAAAGCCAGUGAGAUCCUGAUCCUGACCCCACUGAAGUGUUGGUAAUUCAUUCUGAAACUUGUAAGAAAGCUUUGGAUCUGGUCCUAGUAUUUUGUGAGCUAAUAUACUGCUGUCCUAAUGGAUUCAUCACAAACUCAACUCAAGGUCAGAACAGGCAUGGCUUCUUUGUGUUCCAGAGAACAAAAUGUAUGUGCUAGAGGACAAAACUGGCUUCAGUAACUCUUGAGUUCACUGACCUGGUUCAAGUCAUUUAACCUCUUGGCCGUAUUUCCUAAUCUGCUCCAGACAAGCAACACAAAAUGGGUGGAUUCUGGCUGGAAAUAGCCAGAUAUUUCUCCUGUGGCAGGGAGCUCUCUGCUUCUGAAAGCCAGUGAUGCAGCAGAGCUGUUUUUUUCUGUUCCUCAACACCUUAAUAAUCCCAUAAUAUCUUUAUCACCUUGGAUGUAUCAGGAGAGGGAGGAGGCAUAGCAGCGGUGGGCUGAGGACAAUGCAGAAUUCUGUUAUGACAAUUCACACGUGUAAGUUAGAGCAGCUCCUUGGUGGCUCUACCUAACACCAGGACUGGCCAGUGCUACAUUGCUCCUUCCUGCCAGCCCCCUGCCAGCUGGAGCUCUGAUCCAGGGGAGAAAUGAUCAUCUACCUAUAUAGACAAAGAUUAAAUUUACUUACCUCACUGGGGCAUUGUGAAGAUUAAUUAGAUGAUGUUUGUAAAGUGCUGCAUAAGCAUUAUGAGAGAGAAGCAGCUGGCUCUACAGUCUUCCAUUUUCAAUGUGACAACACAGUUUUAAGAGCCAAUAUAGAGGUACAGAUGCAAGAAAGGUUCAUAUUCUGUCAGUAUAUACCACAUUUUCAUAAUGUGUGUUAUGGGCUCAUAAUAUGGUUCAUCAUUUUGAGAAAU
Long non-coding RNA from Mauremys reevesii (Reeves's turtle), 1503 nucleotides. RefSeq lists it as uncharacterized. The record is from RefSeq and is a predicted model, not a curated record. The transcript is spliced from 5 exons. Lineage: Eukaryota; Metazoa; Chordata; Testudines; Geoemydidae.